Molecule: transfer RNA, 86 nt
Filed under: Felis catus (domestic cat)
Lineage: Eukaryota; Metazoa; Chordata; Mammalia; Carnivora; Felidae
Rfam family: tRNA
About the family: Transfer RNA (tRNA) molecules are approximately 80 nucleotides in length. Their secondary structure includes four short double-helical elements and three loops (D, anti-codon, and T loops).
Source: Rfam by way of RNAcentral
GCCUGGGUGGCUCAGUUGGUUGAGCGUCUGACUUCUGCUCAGGUACAUGAUCUCACAGUUCAUGAGUUUAAGCCCCGUGUCAGGCU